CAGCCUCCACAACAACCAGACAUGCUAGCAGUCGUCGUCUCCCUGUCCAUGUCUAGCGGCAGUGCGUCAACCUCCACCUUUCGCUCCUUCAACGCCGACCACCUCCUUGCCCGCGUCGACGCCCAACAACGCCUCUCUCUCCUCUUCAAGCUUCUCCCGCCGCUUGCGUCAAAAUCCCCUUGCCUGGUUGAAUCCGGCGUAGCCCCUUGCCUGGUUGGACCUGCCCUGUUGCCCUCCCCCUUCUUCGUCGCCGCCAUCAUUGGAUCUGUUGCUGCCGCGGCCUUCCCGGCCAAAUCCAC
Molecule: unclassified non-coding RNA, 299 nt
Filed under: Zea mays
Lineage: Eukaryota; Viridiplantae; Streptophyta; Magnoliopsida; Poales; Poaceae
Description: misc RNA Zm00001eb018500
Source: RNAcentral